GAUGAACGCUGGCGGCGUGCCUAAUACAUGCAAGUCGAGCGAACGGACGAGAAGCUUGCUUCUCUGAUGUUAGCGGCGGACGGGUGAGUAACACGUGGAUAACCUACCUAUAAGACUGGGAUAACUUCGGGAAACCGGAGCUAAUACCGGAUAAUAUUUUGAACCGCAUGGUUCAAAAGUGAAAGACGGUCUUGCUGUCACUUAUAGAUGGAUCCGCGCUGCAUUAGCUAGUUGGUAAGGUAACGGCUUACCAAGGCAACGAUGCAUAGCCGACCUGAGAGGGUGAUCGGCCACACUGGAACUGAGACACGGUCCAGACUCCUACGGGAGGCAGCAGUAGGGAAUCUUCCGCAAUGGGCGAAAGCCUGACGGAGCAACGCCGCGUGAGUGAUGAAGGUCUUCGGAUCGUAAAACUCUGUUAUUAGGGAAGAACAUAUGUGUAAGUAACUGUGCACAUCUUGACGGUACCUAAUCAGAAGGCCACGGCUAACUACGUGC
This 498-nucleotide ribosomal RNA is filed under the name uncultured bacterium. Its description in RNAcentral is "partial 16S ribosomal RNA". It matches the Rfam family "Bacterial small subunit ribosomal RNA", at positions 28 to 508 of the family's 1533-position model. The record is from RNAcentral.